GGGGGUGUAGCUCAGCUGGGAGAGCGCCUCGUUCGCAACGAGGAGGCCGAGAGUUCAAAUCUCUUCACCUCCACCA
RNAcentral lists this transfer RNA (76 nucleotides) under Elusimicrobia bacterium ADurb.Bin231. Its description in RNAcentral is "tRNA-Ala". It matches the Rfam family "tRNA". From Rfam's summary of the family: Transfer RNA (tRNA) molecules are approximately 80 nucleotides in length. Their secondary structure includes four short double-helical elements and three loops (D, anti-codon, and T loops). Further hydrogen bonds mediate the characteristic L-shaped molecular structure. tRNAs have two regions of fundamental functional importance: the anti-codon, which is responsible for specific mRNA codon recognition, and the 3' end, to which the tRNAs corresponding amino acid is attached (by aminoacyl-tRNA synthetases). tRNAs cope with the degeneracy of the genetic code in two manners: having more than one tRNA (with a specific anti-codon) for a particular amino acid; and 'wobble' base-pairing, i.e. permitting non-standard base-pairing at the 3rd anti-codon position. The record is from RNAcentral. Lineage: Bacteria; Pseudomonadati; Elusimicrobiota.